AGCGAACGCUGGCGGCAGGCUUAACACAUGCAAGUCGAGCGGGCCCUCCGGGGUCAGCGGCGGACGGGUGAGUAACGCGUGGGAACGUGCCUUCUGGUUCGGAAUAACUCAGGGAAACUUGAGCUAAUACCGGAUACGCCCUUUUGGGGAAAGGUUUACUGCCGGAAGAUCGGCCCGCGUCUGAUUAGCUAGUUGGUGGGGUAACGGCCUACCAAGGCGACGAUCAGUAGCUGGUCUGAGAGGAGGAUCAGCCACACUGGGACUGAGACACGGCCCAGACUCCUACGGGAGGCAGCAGUGGGGAAUAUUGGACAAUGGGCGCAAGCCUGAUCCAGCCAUGCCGCGUGAGUGAUGAAGGCCUUAGGGUUGUAAAGCUCUUUUAUCCGGGACGAUAAUGACGGUACCGGAGGAAUAAGCCCCGGCUAACUUCGUG
Molecule: ribosomal RNA, 433 nt
Filed under: uncultured bacterium
Lineage: Bacteria
Description: partial 16S ribosomal RNA
Rfam family: Bacterial small subunit ribosomal RNA
Source: RNAcentral